This 548-nucleotide long non-coding RNA is filed under the name Zostera marina. RNAcentral's name for it is "long non-coding RNA (ZMAR_LNC003566)". The record is from RNAcentral. Lineage: Eukaryota; Viridiplantae; Streptophyta; Magnoliopsida; Alismatales; Zosteraceae.
UCCGCCGAUGCACCUCACUCCGCCACUGGCGCCGCCCUUGCGGAAUCCCUUUUUGCCACUCCGAAUGGCAAGAACCCGUUGUCUGUCGUUAGUGCUGACGCGGCCCGGGACGUUCUGGCGAAGAUCGGCCAGCCUGACCUUGCCUUCACUGAGGCCGGAAAUCGCCUCGCCUCUCAGCCGCCGACGGGCAUGGUCGCCCUCUGCACCAACUACGCCGAGGCCGGCCUGACUCUUCCGCUCCCUCCUUUGGUGGCCGAAGCCAUGCACUUCUGCGACAUUUCGCUCUCCCAAUUCCUCCGGCCGCCAUCGAUCGUCUGGUGACCUUUUCUCUACUCUGCCGCCGGUCCGGCAUUGAGGCUUUCUUGCCAAUUUUCCUCAUCUGGUUCUCCAUGACGUCGAUGACGACUGAUCGGGCGGUGCCCUUUUCGAUCAACUGGUCGACCGAUCUCACCACUGGCGCGACUGGUUCUUCUUCGUCUCCGUGGACGCCCUCGAUCCCUUUGAACUGGAGAUGCCACCGCCCUCUCGUUAGGCUCUUUUGACGCAGC